This 75-nucleotide transfer RNA is filed under the name Desulfovibrio sp. RNAcentral's name for it is "tRNA-Gln". It matches the Rfam family "tRNA". From Rfam's summary of the family: Transfer RNA (tRNA) molecules are approximately 80 nucleotides in length. Their secondary structure includes four short double-helical elements and three loops (D, anti-codon, and T loops). RNAcentral also lists the same sequence under 2 other names. The record is from RNAcentral. Lineage: Bacteria; Pseudomonadati; Thermodesulfobacteriota; Desulfovibrionia; Desulfovibrionales; Desulfovibrionaceae.
AUCUCUAUAGUUCAAUGGUUAGAACAAAAGUCUCUGAAACUUUAGAUACAAGUUCGAAUCUUGUUGGAGAUGCCA